CUCAGAUUGAACGCUGGCGGCAGGCCUAACACAUGCAACUCGAGCGGUAACACAGGGAGCUUGCUCCCGGGUGACGAGCGGCGGACGGGUGAGUAAUGUCUGGGAAACUGCCUGAUGGAGGGGGAUAACUACUGGAAACGGUAGCUAAUACCGCAUAACGUCGCAAGACCAAAGAGGGGGACCUUCGGGCCUCUUGCCAUCAGAUGUGCCCAGAUGGGAUUAGCUAGUAGGUGGGGCAACGGCUCACCUAGGCAACGAUCGCCCGCUGCCCUGAGAGGAUGACCAGCCACACUGGAACUGAACACGGUCCAGACUCCUACGGGAGGCAGCAGUGGGGAAUAUUGCACAAUGGGCGCAAGCCUGAUGCACCAUGCCGCGUGUAUGAGAAGGCCUUCGGGUUGAAAGACUUUCAGCGGGGAGGAAGGGGUGGGGUAAUACCACGCAUUGACGUACCCGCAAAAAGCACCGGUUACUCCGUGGCACACCGCGGAAUACGGAGGGGAAGGUUAAUCGGAAUACUGGAGUAGGGCAGGGGGGGCUGUAAGUCGAUGGAAAUCCCGGAUUCUGUGCUGCAGUGCAGCGUUAUCGGAUUACUGGGGAUCAAGCGCACGCGGAAGGCGGUCUGUCAGAUCAUGUGAAAUCAGAAAGGAGCUCAACCUGGGAACUGCAUUCGAAACUGGCAGGCUAUUAGUCUUGUAGAGGGUGGUAAAAUUCCAGGUGUAGCGGUGAAAUGCGUAAGAUCUGGAGGAAUACCGGUGGCGAAGGCGGCCCCCUGGACAAAGACUGACGCUCAGGUGCGAAAGCGUGGGGAGCAAACAGGAUUAGAUACCCUGGUAGUCCACGCCGUAAACAUGAUUACUAGGUGUGGGGGGACUGACCCCUUCCUUGUCUCAUUUAACGCAAUAAUAAUCCCCCUGGGGAGUACACCGCAGGUUGAGGCUCACCCGCACCGACGGGGGCCCGCACAAGCAGGAUUAUGUGGUUUAAUUCAAACAACCCAAAAACUUACCGACUUGACUAACAGUGCCCGGCUAAUAAUUAUCUUCUCUUCGACACUGCUACAGGUGGUGCAUGGUUGCACUGGGAAAGUUGGGUAAGUCCCGCACCAGGAACCCUUGUUAGUGCUACGCGAGAGCACUUAAUGAGGCCGCUCGACAAGGUGGAGGAAGGUGGGGAUGACGUCAAAAUCAUCAUGCCCCUUAUUUUGGGUACACUACGUAAUUCAAUGGUCAUUAACAGAGGGUCGCAAGACCCGAGGUGGAGCCAAUCCCUAAAAAUGAUCUCAGUUCGGAUUGCAGGUGCAACCCGCUGCAUGAAGCUGGAAUUGCUAGUAAUCGCGGAUCAGCAUGCCGCGGUGAAUACGUUCCCGGGCCUUGUACACACCGCCCGUCACACCAUGGGAGUUUGUAACACCCGAAGUCAGCAGCCUAACCUUUCUGGAGGGCGCUGCCGAAGGUGGGAUAAGCGACUGGGGUGAAGUCGUAACAAGGUAACCGUAU
RNAcentral lists this ribosomal RNA (1499 nucleotides) under uncultured bacterium. RNAcentral describes it as "bacterial SSU rRNA". It matches the Rfam family "Bacterial small subunit ribosomal RNA". The record is from RNAcentral.